Molecule: transfer RNA, 72 nt
Filed under: Marmota marmota marmota (Alpine marmot)
Lineage: Eukaryota; Metazoa; Chordata; Mammalia; Rodentia; Sciuridae
Also listed under: 1 other name
Rfam family: tRNA
About the family: Transfer RNA (tRNA) molecules are approximately 80 nucleotides in length. Their secondary structure includes four short double-helical elements and three loops (D, anti-codon, and T loops). Further hydrogen bonds mediate the characteristic L-shaped molecular structure. tRNAs have two regions of fundamental functional importance: the anti-codon, which is responsible for specific mRNA codon recognition, and the 3' end, to which the tRNAs corresponding amino acid is attached (by aminoacyl-tRNA synthetases). tRNAs cope with the degeneracy of the genetic code in two manners: having more than one tRNA (with a specific anti-codon) for a particular amino acid; and 'wobble' base-pairing, i.e. permitting non-standard base-pairing at the 3rd anti-codon position.
Source: Rfam by way of RNAcentral
AGGGGUGUGGCUCAGGGGUAGAGCACUUGCCUAGCAUGCAUGAGGCACUGAGUUCCAUCCCCAGCACCACAU